Molecule: long non-coding RNA, 417 nt
Organism: Callorhinchus milii (elephant shark)
Lineage: Eukaryota; Metazoa; Chordata; Chondrichthyes; Chimaeriformes; Callorhinchidae
Exons: 3
Source: RefSeq, a predicted model, not a curated record
AGAGUGAUGUUUGUGAAAUGAAUACAGCAUAUAGUGUGCUGGAACUUCAAGGUUAAGAAACUGUUCUAAUCUGUAACUUUUUUUUGUAACAGGCGACACUGGUAAGAACUCUACCAUUUGGACGUGGAUUCUGCUGCUUGGACCCCUCUCACCCUACUAUGGCUGGGUCUCCUGCAAUCAACAAUAUACAUCCAGGAGGACAUCUCAAAGCUCUUCGCACAGCUGGUUGGGAGGCGUGUUGGAGGGGGAAUGAUCAAACGUGUGGUCAAAAAAAUGGGUAUGGAAGGAAAGAGGAUUCUGGGAUGGAGUACCAGAGAGAGUUCCACCACCAUCAGUGAAGAAACUGAAAUGCUAUAUUCCUAUAACUAUGCUAUUUACUGCUUAAAUGCUUGGUAAAUUUCCAGUUGAAUAAUGUGA